This 492-nucleotide ribosomal RNA is filed under the name uncultured bacterium. RNAcentral describes it as "partial 16S ribosomal RNA". It matches the Rfam family "Bacterial small subunit ribosomal RNA", at positions 29 to 507 of the family's 1533-position model. The record is from RNAcentral.
AGUGAACGCUGGCGGUAGGCCUAACACAUGCAAGUCGAACGGCAGCACAGUAAGAGCUUGCUCUUACGGGUGGCGAGUGGCGGACGGGUGAGGAAUACAUCGGAAUCUACUUUUUCGUGGGGGAUAACGUAGGGAAACUUACGCUAAUACCGCAUACGACCUACGGUUGAAAGCAGGGGAUCUUCGGACCUUGCGCGAUUGAAUGAGCCGAUGUCGGAUUAGCUAGUUGGCGGGGUAAAGGCCCACCAAGGCGACGAUCCGUAGCUGGUCUGAGAGGAUGAUAAGCGACACUGGAACGGAGACACGGUCCAGACGCCUAAGGGAGGCAGCAGUGGGGAAUAUUGGACAAUGGGCGCAAGCAUGAUCCAGCCAUACCGCGUGGGUGAAGAAGGCCUUCGGGUUGUAAAGCCCUUUUGUGGGGAAAGAAAAGCAGCAGGUUAAUACCCAGCUGUUCUGACGGUACCCAAAGAAUAAGCACCGGCUAACUUCGUG